CUGUUGUUGGAGAAGAAUGGUCGGCAGAGUAACUGUUGUCGGCGUGACGGUAUCCAACCAGAAAGCCACGGCUAACUACGUGCCAGCAGCCGCGGUAAUACGUAGGUGGCAAGCGUUAUCCGGAUUUAUUGGGCGUAAAGCGAGCGCAGGCGGUUUUUUAAGUCUGAUGUGAAAGCCCUCGGCUUAACCGAGGAAGCGCAUCGGAAACUGGGAAACUUGAGUGCAGAAGAGGACAGUGGAACUCCAUGUGUAGCGGUGAAAUGCGUAGAUAUAUGGAAGAACACCAGUGGCGAAGGCGGCUGUCUGGUCUGUAACUGACGCUGAGGCUCGAAAGCAUGGGUAGCGAACAGGAUUAGAUACCCUGGUAGUCCAUGCCGUAAACGAUGAAUGCUAGGUGUUGGAGGGUUUCCGCCCUUCAGUGCCGCAGCUAACGCAUUAAGCAUUCCGCCUGGGGAGUACGACCGCAAGGUUGAAACUCAAAGGAAUUGACGGGGGCCCGCACAAGCGGUGGAGCAUGUGGUUUAAUUCGAAGCAACGCGAAGAACCUUACCAGGUCUUGACAUCUUUUGAUCACCUGAGAGAUCAGGUUUCCCCUUCGGGGGCAAAAUGACAGGUGGUGCAUGGUUGUCGUCAGCUCGUGUCGUGAGAUGUUGGGUUAAGUCCCGCAACGAGCGCAACCCUUAUGACUAGUUGCCAGCAUUUAGUUGGGCACUCUAGUAAGACUGCCGGUGACAAACCGGAGGAAGGUGGGGAUGACGUCAAAUCAUCAUGCCCCUUAUGACCUGGGCUACACACGUGCUACAAUGGAUGGUACAACGAGUUGCGAGACCGCGAGGUCAAGCUAAUCUCUUAAAGCCAUUCUCAGUUCGGACUGUAGGCUGCAACUCGCCUACACGAAGUCGGAAUCGCUAGUAAUCGCGGAUCAGCACGCCGCGGUGAAUACGUUCCCGGGCCUUGUACACACCGCCCGUCACACCAUGAGAGUUUGUAACACCCGAAGCCGGUGGCGUAACC
RNAcentral lists this ribosomal RNA (1014 nucleotides) under Lactobacillus sp. cemb29. RNAcentral's name for it is "bacterial SSU rRNA". It matches the Rfam family "Bacterial small subunit ribosomal RNA", at positions 433 to 1440 of the family's 1533-position model. The record is from RNAcentral. Lineage: Bacteria; Bacillati; Bacillota; Bacilli; Lactobacillales; Lactobacillaceae.